GGCCGGUUAGCUCAGUGGGUUGAGCGCGGUGCUGACAACAACGACAACACCGAGAUCGCAGGUUCAAUUCCUGCUUGGUCU
RNAcentral lists this transfer RNA (81 nucleotides) under Apaloderma vittatum (bar-tailed trogon). It matches the Rfam family "tRNA". Rfam says of the family: Transfer RNA (tRNA) molecules are approximately 80 nucleotides in length. Their secondary structure includes four short double-helical elements and three loops (D, anti-codon, and T loops). Lineage: Eukaryota; Metazoa; Chordata; Aves; Trogoniformes; Trogonidae. The record is from Rfam by way of RNAcentral.